UACGUAGGGGGCAAGCGUUGUCCGGAUUUAUUGGGCGUAAAGAGCGUGUAGGCGGCCAGGUAGGUCUGCUGUGAAAACUCGAGGCUCAACCUCGAGAUGUCGGCGGAAACCAUCUGGCUAGAGUCCGGAAGAGGAGAAUGGAAUUCCCGGUGUAGCGGUGAAAUGCGUAGAUAUCUGGAGGAAUACCGGUGGCGAAGGCGGCAUCCUGGACCGGCAUUGACGCUGAUGAGCGAAAGCUAGGGGAGCAAACGGG
This 253-nucleotide ribosomal RNA is filed under the name uncultured bacterium. RNAcentral describes it as "partial 16S ribosomal RNA". It matches the Rfam family "Bacterial small subunit ribosomal RNA", at positions 524 to 776 of the family's 1533-position model. The record is from RNAcentral.